GAUGAACGCUGGCGGCGUGCCUAAUACAUGCAAGUCGAGCGAACGGGCGAGAAGCUUGCUUUUCUGAUGUUAGCGGCGGACGGGUGAGUAACACGUGGAUAACCUACCCAUAAGACUGGGAUAACUUCGGGAAACCGGAGCUAAUACCGGAUAAUAUUUUGAACCGCAUGGUUCAAAAGUGAAAGACGGUCUUGCUGUCACUUAUAGAUGGAUCCGCGCUGCAUUAGCUAGUUGGUAAGGUAACGGCUUACCAAGGCAACGAUGCAUAGCCGACCUGAGAGGGUGAUCGGCCACACUGGAACUGAGACACGGUCCAGACUCCUACGGGAGGCAGCAGUAGGGAAUCUUCCGCAAUGGGCGAAAGCCUGACGGAGCAACGCCGCGUGAGUGAUGAAGGUCUUCGGAUCGUAAAACUCUGUUAUUAGGGAAGAACAUAUGUGUAAGUAACUGUGCACAUCUUGACGGUACCUAAUCAGAAAGCCACGGCUAACUACGUG
RNAcentral lists this ribosomal RNA (497 nucleotides) under uncultured bacterium. RNAcentral's name for it is "partial 16S ribosomal RNA". It matches the Rfam family "Bacterial small subunit ribosomal RNA", at positions 28 to 507 of the family's 1533-position model. The record is from RNAcentral.